This 112-nucleotide ribosomal RNA is filed under the name Aspergillus penicillioides. Its description in RNAcentral is "partial 28S ribosomal RNA". It matches the Rfam family "Eukaryotic large subunit ribosomal RNA", at positions 1 to 110 of the family's 3401-position model. Lineage: Eukaryota; Fungi; Ascomycota; Eurotiomycetes; Eurotiales; Aspergillaceae. The record is from RNAcentral.
GUUGACCUCGGAUCAGGUAGGGAUACCCGCUGAACUUAAGCAUAUCAAUAAGCGGAGGAAAAGAAACCAACCGGGAUUGCCUCAGUAACGGCGAGUGAAGCGGCAAGAGCUC